UUGUCAAUGCCUAUUGAUAUACUUCCUUUACUGAAAUGAUCAUCAGCUUGUUUUCAACAAGGAACACCAAGCGACGCCUGCUGCAUGUAUUUAUCAAUAACCUUUCAUAUAAAAUUAGCAAAUAAAAAAAAUAUAUAAUUGAAAUAAGUGUAGAAAGCUGUAAGUAAUAGAGACAUUCAGCCUCCACGAAGUGGUUCAUUGAUUACCUCUCGAGCUGAAGUAGAUCUGUCUUCUAUUCUCCACAAAGCUACUUGCUUCCCUGGUAACUGGACUAUCAGUCGUUAGAUAUGAGCGUCUCUUUAUAUGGGCAUAUUAAUAGCAAUUUGAGAAUUUCAAAUGAUAUUUAGUAUUUGACUUGACUCUUCCUUAUUGAUCAAUGACUAAUUGAGCUUAAUUUGGUCACUGUUUCGUUAAUGGAAUUGAUCAUUAAAGAUUCAAUCAACAACUCCUAAAAGAGGAGGGAGAUUGUAUAUUUUGUUAAAUUUUAGAGAUAAGCCUUUGUUUAUUU
Molecule: unclassified non-coding RNA, 508 nt
Filed under: Hevea brasiliensis (rubber tree)
Lineage: Eukaryota; Viridiplantae; Streptophyta; Magnoliopsida; Malpighiales; Euphorbiaceae
Source: RNAcentral